Molecule: long non-coding RNA, 568 nt
Filed under: Glycine max (soybean)
Lineage: Eukaryota; Viridiplantae; Streptophyta; Magnoliopsida; Fabales; Fabaceae
Description: long non-coding RNA (GMAX_LNC002052)
Source: RNAcentral
GAAAAGUUCUCAAAAGAAUCAAUAAAAGGGUGGUGGAGGAGGAGAUGCAUACGAGACUCCGAUGACGGGUGGCAAAGGCCCUUCAUAUACAGGUGCAGGUGGUGGAGAUGACGGUGGUGGCGGUGAAUUGUAAUGAUAAACAGGUGUUGGAGGUGGCGGUGAUGGUGGUGGUGGUGAAUUAUAUUGAAUUGGGGGAGGUGGUGGUGAUGGUGAUGGUGGCGGAUGGUAAGGUGCAGAGUGUGGUGAUGGUGGUGGUGGUGAAUGCUCUUCACAAGGUGGUGGAGGUGGUGGCGGAGGAGGUGACUCUAUACAAGGUGGUGGAGAUGGGGGUGGCGGUGGUGGUGAAUAAACUGGUGGGGGAGGAGAGUGAACUGGAGGAGGUGGUGGCGGUGAUAAAUAGGGAUAAACUGGUGGUGGUGGUGGUGGUGAAUGUGGUGGUGGCGGUGGCGAAUGAGGUGGAGGUGGCGGUGGAGAGGCGGCGAAUACACUGGUGGUGGAGGUGGUGGCGAAUACACCGGCGGUGGGGGUGGUGGAGGGGAAUGAGGAAUGUAAACAGGCGACGGCGGAG